This is a non-coding RNA of Peromyscus maniculatus bairdii (prairie deer mouse), 260 nucleotides long. The record is from RefSeq and is a predicted model, not a curated record. Lineage: Eukaryota; Metazoa; Chordata; Mammalia; Rodentia; Cricetidae.
AUAGGAGUUGACCAUUAACCCCAACAUUUUCUUUUCAGGAUUCCCUAAAGAUGUCUUCACCCCCAGAAUGCCGGAAGUAAUUUUAAGAAAAUGACGCCCAUGUUCCCAAGAGGGGGGAUGGGAGGUUUUUAGUCGUUUAAUGAGUUUUGGAUAUUGUCAUUGUUUAUGAUGGUUGGUUACAAGUUGUUAAUUGUUAAUGGUCAGGAAAAAAGCUGAACAAGCAGAUUAGAUUCAGAGUUUUUGUUUAAAAAAAGAAAAAG